RNAcentral lists this ribosomal RNA (1109 nucleotides) under uncultured Oceanobacillus sp. RNAcentral describes it as "bacterial SSU rRNA". It matches the Rfam family "Bacterial small subunit ribosomal RNA", at positions 38 to 1098 of the family's 1533-position model. Lineage: Bacteria; Bacillati; Bacillota; Bacilli; Caryophanales; Bacillaceae. The record is from RNAcentral.
GGCGGCGUGCCUAAUACAUGCAAGUCGAGCGCGGGAAGCGAACGGAACUCUUCGGAGGGAAGUUCGUGGAACGAGCGGCGGACGGGUGAGUAACACGUAGGCAACCUGCCUGUAAGACUGGGAUAACUCGCGGAAACGCGAGCUAAUACCGGAUAACACUUUCUAUCACCUGAUGGAAAGUUGAAAGGCGGCUUUUGCUGUCACUUACAGAUGGGCCUGCGGCGCAUUAGCUAGUUGGUGAGGUAACGGCUCACCAAGGCGACGAUGCGUAGCCGACCUGAGAGGGUGAUCGGCCACACUGGGACUGAGACACGGCCCAGACUCCUACGGGAGGCAGCAGUAGGGAAUCUUCCGCAAUGGACGAAAGUCUGACGGAGCAACGCCGCGUGAGUGAUGAAGGUUUUCGGAUCGUAAAACUCUGUUGUCAGGGAAGAACAAGUACGAUAGUAACUGAUCGUACCUUGACGGUACCUGACCAGAAAGCCACGGCUAACUACGUGCCAGCAGCCGCGGUAAUACGUAGGUGGCAAGCGUUGUCCGGAAUUAUUGGGCGUAAAGCGCUCGCAGGCGGUUCUUUAAGUCUGAUGUGAAAUCUUGCGGCUCAACCGCAAACGUGCAUUGGAAACUGGAGGACUUGAGUGCAGAAGAGGAGAGUGGAAUUCCACGUGUAGCGGUGAAAUGCGUAGAGAUGUGGAGGAACACCAGUGGCGAAGGCGACUCUCUGGUCUGUAACUGACGCUGAGGAGCGAAAGCGUGGGGAGCGAACAGGAUUAGAUACCCUGGUAGUCCACGCCGUAAACGAUGAGUGCUAGGUGUUAGGGGGUUUCCGCCCCUUAGUGCUGAAGUUAACGCAUUAAGCACUCCGCCUGGGGGAGUACGGCCGCAAGGCUGAAACUCAAAAGAAUUGACGGGGACCCGCACAAGCGGUGGAGCAUGUGGUUUAAUUUCGAAGCAACGCGAAGAAACCUUUACCAGGUCUUUGACAUCCCUUUUGACCGCUCUAGAAGAAUAGAGUUUUCCCUUUCGGGGAACAAGUGACCAGGUUGAUGCCAUGGGAUGUCGUCAGGCUUCGAUGAUCGUGAGCAUGAGGGGCUUAAGCUCCCCGGCCA